UUUAGGGUUUCUUGCUUUGAUUGUUUAGGGUUUUGUUCUAAUUCUUUUUGUUUGGUUUUAUUUUGAAGGAACAAAUUUUUUCUAUUGGUAAACCCUAACCUUUUGUUUCAGUCUGUUUAUUUCUCUGAAUCAGUAAACCCUAACCCAUGUUUUGUUUUGCAGGUACAAUCAAUAAACCAUAACCCAUGUUUUAUUUUGCAGGUAUAAUUUUUGUUUGCUCUUGAUAAACAACGAAAUGUUGUCUGUUGGACCGGUAUUCUAAGCUGCAUGGGGAAGAAUAUGAUGACAACUUCUUGAAGAGUGUGUUUCAAGAAGUGAUGUUGCAGGGCCUAAUGGUUCAUGCUACCUACUAUGGAAUCGGAAAUGAUAAUUUGGGGAACAAGGACGGAGCUGAUGCUGAAGAUAAUGAUUUUGGAAAAGAAAGCACCUCUGCAGUUUAUAAGAUCGGUGGUAGUGGCUACAAUGAGGUGGAAUCAACCGCAGCUGAAGUUUAUGUGAAUGAUGUUAAGUAGAAAACUCCAUUGUGGGGAAAAUGAAUGAUAAAAAUGGUGGUAAUGAUUCAACUCAAAUUACAGAUGAUGUUAAUGCUGCAGAAGUUGUUUUGGAAAGGCUGAGAGAGUGAGUUCGAUAAAAGCUUAUCACUCCAAAUAAAGAAUCUUAAGCGACUGGCGGGGCGAAGCCGAAUCAAAAAUGCAUCACGAUGGGUGCGUGACGAAGCGGAGCCAGACCGAAUUUAAAAUGCAUCUGAACGUGGGUGUCGCGAAGCUGAUAAUGACAGUACAACUAGUCAGUAUAUCAAUCAAUGUGAUGAAGUGGUGUAGGAUAAGGAGUAAUACAGUGUAGGAUAAGAUGUUAGCCUGUAAACUGUCACACAUGUGUUUAAUACGUGUGUAUCUUCAUUAGUUGUCUUUAGCUGUCAGAUGACGGUCUGUAUACAAGGAUGUCUUAACAGCUUUUGUCUGUUGUAUUGAAUUCUCUGAUAACCAUCAAUCUGUUAGAUUGUUCUUCAUCACCAUCUCUACCAUGUCAUUAUGGUAUCAGAUAGGUUAGGGUUUUCUUUUUCAAACCGACAUUGAUCCUGCAACCUGAAGAUUCAUCAUUCUUCUCUGUUGUUUUUCUCUCAACCUAUAAGCUUCUCAACUGUUUUACUAGUGAUCUUUUGUAUCAGAGACUUCAUUUCUUCCUAUUUUUUGUUUCUAACAUUAGUUUCUUGAAUCAUUUCGUUUCUUGAUUCAA
Long non-coding RNA from Papaver somniferum (opium poppy), 1236 nucleotides. RefSeq lists it as uncharacterized. Lineage: Eukaryota; Viridiplantae; Streptophyta; Magnoliopsida; Ranunculales; Papaveraceae. The record is from RefSeq and is a predicted model, not a curated record. The transcript has 3 exons.